AUUCCAGCUCCAAUAGCGUAUAUUAAUGUUGUUGCGGUUAAAAAGCUCGUAGUUGGAUCUCGGCAGGUAGGGGGCGGUUCGAUAUUUGUCGUUACUGCCCCAUUUACCUGUGUUUUUGACGGAGGUCGCUCGGUGCUCUUAAUCGAGUGUCGUGCGGCGCCGCCAGGUUUACUUUGAAAAAAUUAGAGUGCUCAAAGCAGGCUUGACACGCUUGAAUAUUCGUGCAUGGAAUAAUAGAAUAGGACGUCGUUUCUAUUUUGUUGGUUUUCGGAAAUCGACGUAAUGAUUAAUAGAGACAGUCGGGGGCAUUAGUAUUCAGACGACAGAGGUGAAAUUCUUGGACCGUCUGAAGACUAACUACUGCGAAAGCAUUUGCCAAGAAUGUUUUCAUUAAUCAAGAACGAAAGUUAGAGGUUCGAAGGCGAUCAGAUACCGCCCUAGUUCUAACCAUAAACGAUGCCAGCUAGCGAUCCGCAGGCGUUUUUUAUCUAGGCUCUGCGGGAAGCUUCCGGGAAACCAAAGCUUUUGGGUUCCGGGGGAAGUAUGGUUGCAAAGCUGAAACUUAAAGGAAUUGACGGAAGGGCACCACCAGGAGUGGAGCCUGCGGCUUAAUUUGACUCAACACGGGAAAUCUCACCAGGCCCGGACACUGGAAGGAUUGACAGAUUGAGAGCUC
Molecule: ribosomal RNA, 676 nt
Filed under: uncultured metazoan
Lineage: Eukaryota; Metazoa
Description: SSU rRNA
Rfam family: Eukaryotic small subunit ribosomal RNA
Source: RNAcentral